Molecule: long non-coding RNA, 1232 nt
Organism: Hibiscus syriacus
Lineage: Eukaryota; Viridiplantae; Streptophyta; Magnoliopsida; Malvales; Malvaceae
Exons: 4
Source: RefSeq, a predicted model, not a curated record
ACCGAAACCAAGCAAUCAUCAUCCUUAUCCAUGGAGAAAUCUCUUCCUCUCCAUCUACUCCAUGCAAACAGCUUGACCAUAAUCAUCAACAGGUCGCACUUAAUCCUGCAUUUUAUAGCCAUACUUUUUCUGAUUCGCUACAGGCUUUCCUUCUUUUUCCAACACCCCACGCUUCCUGGCUUCUAACCUUCUUCUCUGAGUUGCUUCUCUCUCUAUCAUGGCUCCUUUGGCAAUCCACUCGAUGGCGCCUGGUUUACCGGACCGUCUUCCCCGAGAGAUUGCCACCCAACGACUAGCUUCCGGCUAUCCACCGGAAUUAUCCACCGGUGAACACUGUGAUAUCCGCCGUGGCCAUGAAUUAUACACCGGAAAAACUUCAUGUUUAUGUUUCCGACGAUGCCGGUUCCGAUGCGACUUUGCGUUGUGUGAAGGAGGCUUGGAACUUUGCCAAGUAUUGGGUCCCGUUUUGUAGGAAAUAUGGUAUCGAUACCGGGUCCCCGGAAAUAUAUAUUUUCAAGCUCGAUACUUGAACACGGUGAGUUUAAAGGUUCCGAUUUUAAGUAAGACGACGGAAAGAUAAAGCAAAAAUAUGAGGUUAUGAAGCAAAGACUGAAGACAACUGUACAACAAACUCAUAAUGUCUCCCUCAACACCAAUGCUCGUGAUCACCCUUCUAUUAUUGAGGUUAUAAAUGAGCAUCCAAGAGAGAAAAUGCCUUAUGUCUCGUGAGAGGAGACCUUCUCAACAUCAUAAUUUCAAAGCCGGAGCCAUCAAUGUCCUUCUUCGGGUCUCGGAGAUGAUGAGUAAUUCUCCGUAUAUACUCGUGCUCGACUGCGACAUGUACUGCAAUGAGCCGACAUCGGCUAGGCGAGCAAUGUGUUACUAUUGUGACUCUCAAACAUCUCCUUCUUUAGCAUUUGCAAUUCCCUCAAACGUUUCGGAAUAUUUGCGACGACGAUAUCUACGACGGAGAAAUACGGGCUACAUUCAAGGUUCGUUAUUAAGAUAUCAUGGGAAUGUAUGUGCAUGUAUGUUGAGAUUGAUGUUUUAAUUUGAUGAAAAUGAGUUCAGAUAUAUUGGCCUGGUUUCGAUGGAGUCGGAGGACCGACUAUUGCGGGAACCAACUUUUAUAAAAAGAGGGAGGCUUUAUUGGGUAAUUUCAGUAAGCAGUGUUAGUUAUAUCGAUAUUGAUGACCCAAACAUUUUCGAGCUUAAUCUUUGGGCAACUACUA